RNAcentral lists this ribosomal RNA (253 nucleotides) under uncultured prokaryote. RNAcentral's name for it is "partial 16S ribosomal RNA". It matches the Rfam family "Bacterial small subunit ribosomal RNA", at positions 525 to 777 of the family's 1533-position model. The record is from RNAcentral.
ACGUAGGCAGCAAGCGUUGUUCGGAAUUAUUGGGCGUAAAGGGUGCGUAGGCGGUUUGGCAAGUCUUGUGUGAAAUCUUCGGGCUCAACCCGAAGCCUGCACAAGAAACUGCCGGGCUUGAGUAUGGGAGAGGUGAGUGGAAUUUCCGGUGUUGCGGUGAAAUGCGUAGAUAUCGGAAGGAACACCUGUGGCGAAAGCGGCUCACUGGACCAUAACUGACGCUGAGGCACGAAAGCUAGGGGAGCAAACAGGA